AUCACUCCUUGUAGAAGAAGAGAACAUCCUAUGUGAUCUCAUAGGAUGAUGACUCUGAGAGUCUCUGACAAGAGUAGGGAUGAACAAUAGAAAAAAUUUUUACUAGUUCAUCAAUCGAGUCAUCAUCAUCAGAUCGAGAUACAUAUGAAUAGAUAUUUGGACUUGACAUGAUUUCAUGCCCACGAUCUGUCUGGGAUGUUGUGUGAUCGAAGGAUUGAAUUACACGG
Molecule: long non-coding RNA, 227 nt
Filed under: Elaeis guineensis (African oil palm)
Lineage: Eukaryota; Viridiplantae; Streptophyta; Magnoliopsida; Arecales; Arecaceae
Description: long non-coding RNA (EGUI_LNC050107)
Source: RNAcentral